This 103-nucleotide microRNA precursor is filed under the name Haemonchus contortus (barber pole worm). RNAcentral describes it as "microRNA hco-mir-5979 precursor". The record is from miRBase by way of RNAcentral. Lineage: Eukaryota; Metazoa; Nematoda; Chromadorea; Rhabditida; Trichostrongylidae.
GCGCAGGAAAUAUGUAUGUUCAUGGAUGAUCGCGAAAGUGCCAUGACAUCCAAUCCAUGGCACUUUUGCGAUCAUUCAUGAACAUAUAUCCAAUAGAAAACUG